UAUUGCACAAUGGGCGAAAGCCUGAUGCAGCGACGCCGCGUGAGCGAAGACGUAUUUCGGUAUGUAAAGCUCUAUCAGCAGGGAAGAUAAUGACGGUACCUGACUAAGAAGCCCCGGCUAAAUACGUGCCAGCAGCCGCGGUAAUACGGAUGGUGCAAGCGUUAUCCGGAUUUACUGGGUGUAAAGGGAGCGCAGGCGGUGCGGCAAGUCUGAUGUGAAAGCCCGGGGCUCAACCCCGGUACUGCAUUGGAAACUGUCGUACUAGAGUGUCGGAGGGGUAAGCGGAAUUCCUAGUGUAGCGGUGAAAUGCGUAGAUAUUAGGAGGAACACCAGUGGCGAAGGCGGCUUUCUGGACUGAAACUGACACUGAGGCACGAAAGCGUGGGGAGCAAACAGGA
RNAcentral lists this ribosomal RNA (398 nucleotides) under uncultured bacterium. RNAcentral's name for it is "bacterial SSU rRNA". It matches the Rfam family "Bacterial small subunit ribosomal RNA", at positions 362 to 777 of the family's 1533-position model. The record is from RNAcentral.